AAUUUGUUCUGGCUGCGUCUUUCCCCGGUGAUGCUGAUGAGGUAGUGCGAGUGAGUGAGGGAUUUCCUUUCUUCGUUCAGAAAGCUUCUGCAAGAAAGACAAUGUCAGAAGUGAUCCAAGAAAUCCGUAGUUAAAUUUCUUCAGAUGACAAGUUGAACAAAUCCUCGGGCUAUUCAGCACUCCUUCAAUUUCAGCAACAUUCUUGCGCCAACCCUUCUUCGCUUCAAUCCCUCGCUCACUCCUCCCAAUCGAUAAUCUCUUCCAUCGUCUCCGACUUUUCUCACGACCACGAUGAAGAAAUAGUCGCACAAGCCUUGAAGUGUUUGGGCUUCAUGCUUUAUCAUCCCUCCGUCGUUUCCGUCUUUGGAGUGGAUGAUGCCAAUUUGGUAUUGGGCGCAUUGCCCAAACUUAUUACCACCACACAGUUAAAGGCUAGUGUGAUAUUAUUUUUACUCUUGUUAAGUGUUUUCACUUGCUCUACAGAGUUUUUAUGUGUGAUAUUUACAUUAACUUUGUUAAAUAUUGCUGCAGUCUGCUUGAAAUUUAGGGUUAUGGUGCGUGUCUGUCCAAUAUUUAGGUGCAUCGUUUCUUGUUAUUCACUUCCCUUCUUUGUUACGGGCAAUUGUUCACGCCCUAGACAAUCCUAUGGAUUCUUUGUCCACAACAUUUGAAGCUACCCAGGCUGUAACGAGGCUUUCUGGUCAAUUAAGGGAGCAAAUGAAAAGGCUCAUCCCAUAUAUGGGCCCCUCCAAUAUACAGGAGAUUUAUCAGCCCAGAUAAGAGGGAGAGGGAUGCCUCAGAAAGGUGCCUGCUGAAAAUCAGAUCUACAGUCAUUCCUCCUUCUUUGGAUCUCUCUAAGGCUAUUGUCAAAGAUAUGAAGAUAAAAUUGCUAAAUGGGAUGAAGGGUUUGCUAGACAAUGGUAUGAAGACUCAAGCUAUUCGUGCAUGGGGAUGGUUUGCCAGAAUGCUUGGAUCCCAUGCUUUAAGGAAUAUACAUAUGCUGAAAAUUCCUGAACGUACAUUUACAGAUCUUGACCCUCAAGUUCAAAUUGCUACACAGGUUGCUUGGGAAGGUCUUAUUGAUGCUCUUGUUCACUGCCCAAUAUUAGUUUCUGUAAAAAAAUGCAUCAGCAGAGGAGAGUUUAUUGGAGAAACAACAUUCAUUAGGAAGGAAAAAUUGUGAUGAUCAGACGAAUGGAUUUUCUAAAAGCAUAAAGCUAAUAAUGACUCCACUGAUCGGCAUCAUGCCCAGUAAAUGUGAUAUAUCAGUUCAUUCAUCCUGCUUCAACACUUGGCGUUAUUUGCUACAUAAGCUUGUUAUCUCUAUCAAUGAAACAUCGAUGAUAAAAACAGUUUUUGAGCCUUUACCUAAAGCAAUAUUUCAGAAUGGACCUGAUAGCAAGAACAUCUGCUUAUGGAACCUGGGCCUCGAUAUGCUUAGUGAUAGUAUUUCACAUAAGCGUGGGGAUGUCCUUUACCAGUCAACUGGCCCAGUAAGCCACAGAGUCUCUGAUAAUGGACCUUCUCUAUCUGGAAAAUGCUCUUGGAAGCAACACCUAAUCAGAUGGAUGCCUAGGAAUAUCAAUCAAUUGGACUUUUAUCUUAGUAUGAUUUUCCAUCUCAUUCAUCAAGCAUCUAGGCCAACUGUCACUUAUGAUCGUAGAAAUCAUGUGUAUGAUACUGCCUUGAAGCUAUUUAUUUAUAUUCUGAAAGGAGUCAAACUGGACGUGGAAAGUCCAUCUACCAAUUAUGAUGGUAUUAUGUAGUGCUUGAACUCAUUAUUAACAUUCAUCAAGAAAGUAUGCGAAGAUUUAUUCUUAGAAGUUGGUGAAAAUUAUGAUGUUUAUUGUACUUCCAUGCAGUUUAUAGAUGCUAUCACAAAGGAGUUAGGUCCUUCAAUCUUGGGAUCUCCUCUGUACAAGUUUUCUUUAGAUCUAAAGUACAUUGAGGACAUGCAAUCGGUUGAUAAUAACAAACUUCUAAAAUUUCUGAGUCAGUUGUAUUUCUUAUAUGGAUGAGGUUUCUCUAUUGGUUUAUUUAAUAGCACUGUACUUCCACAUGAUUGUUCAGUUAACAAUGAAAUCCCAUCAAUCGGACCAUGUUUCAUAAGGGAUGUGUGAAUAUUUUAAAUCUAUAUUUUAUUCAAGUGAUCCCCUGGAAAAUCUCCUCACCAGUAUUGGCUUCUUGUGCAGACAUGUUCAACCAAUUUACUUAAGCAUAUGGAUAUCAUUAGCUCAGAGUCUGAACUACUGUGUAUGUGAUGCAAACUGCAAGUCACUACAGGAAGCCUUGUCUGACAGCACUGUAUAUUUUUUCCAUAUGCCAUCUUUUAAUUUACCCCAUCAUGGCACAUUCUGAAGUUCCAAGAAUGACCUUGUCAAAUGAUAGUGCCUCUUUGGAUAAAUAUCCCGUAUCACCAGAAAGAAAGGUGAAGUUUGAACUGGUUAUUCAAACCUGGAAAUCACUUUAUGGAUCUCUUAGUGCUUUGGGCUUUGGAUGCUCAUCAGCCACCAAUUUCUCUGGGGAUCUGUGCAUGUUGUUAAGCAACUGCCUUGAUGAAAAUGGUGGCAUGGUUGAGAGCGGCACUGAUUUUGAGUCAACAUGCAAUGAUGUGGAUCAUGGCGUUCUUCAUUUAUCUGGCAAUUUCUUGAUAUGCAUUCUAGAACAGAUUCAGACUUUGGAAUUAGUUACUGAGUUGCGCAGAAGUAAAUCUGACCGUGAUAUCAAAAUAUUUUGCUGCAUAAAGAACUGCUUAAAAUUUGUUGCCAAGUAUAUGAAUUUUUUGAGGAUAAAGAUGGUUAGAGAUCCACUGUCUGGUUUUGUUGGGACCUCAAGGUCAGUCAACAUAAGUUGUCUGCUGCAAUACAUGCUUGGUUGUUCAAUAAGUAACUCUGCUUGACUCUCACUUUUUCAAAAAUCACAAGCUGUAUUCUGCACUGGCAUGCUUUAUUAGUUGCCUUCACUGGAAGCAAGAUAUUCUUCAUCUUCUAGAGAAUGUUUCCUGUCCACUGCUUCAAUGGCUAUCAAAUAUGGGAAUGCAGGAUGAAAGAAAAACGACCAACUUCAACUUCUGUGGACUGAAAUUCUAAGUUGCUCAAGAAGUCAACUGCCAAUAAACAUUGGUUCUGCUUUACCCAAACUUCAUGAACCUCUGUUCAAAAAAACUCUCGAUCACCCAUACCCCUCCAUUUCAGAACCAACCAUCAACUUUUGGAAUUGUACAUUUGGUCAGCAAAUUAUUUUGGAUUUUCCCUCGAGUCUGCUUUGUGUCUUGGACAAGCUAUCCAGAAAUGGAAGAUUAAAACUCCAGAAGAGAAGCCUACUGUGUCUUCAAAAAUGUCAUUCUCAUGAAGAAGCCAAUGAUGCUCUAGAGGGAUGUAGGGACUCUCCAAAACAUAACUGGACCUCUAAGAGGGUGGAACUAGUGUUGGAUACACUAAAAGAAGCACCACCUCCUUUAAGUUUUAAAAAGAGGAGGUUAGAACUGACUGAGCAUCUCAAGGGAGUUAGGCGAGCACAGCAAGGAAGGGAAAGGGAUACUGGAGGACGUGGCCCAGGAAUUAGAAUUUACACUAGUGCAGAUUUUACACAAGGGCGUGAUGAUUCUCAAGAAAGCCAGGAGGAGAUAAGAAAUCCUGAAGCUAUAUUGCAGAUGUUAAGAAAAACUCUCUGACUGGCUUUGAAUGCUGCUUAUAGAUGGCAUUACACUCUUGAAUGCCUGAAUUAUAAUCGGGAGAAAUCUAUUUUAACUUGUCUUAACAUAAUUUUUAAUCGUAAAAAAUUAACUAAUUAUUAAAGUCUA
Glycine soja is the source of this 3802-nucleotide long non-coding RNA. RefSeq lists it as uncharacterized. The transcript has 8 exons. The record is from RefSeq and is a predicted model, not a curated record. Lineage: Eukaryota; Viridiplantae; Streptophyta; Magnoliopsida; Fabales; Fabaceae.